This 490-nucleotide ribosomal RNA is filed under the name uncultured bacterium. RNAcentral's name for it is "bacterial SSU rRNA". It matches the Rfam family "Bacterial small subunit ribosomal RNA", at positions 28 to 514 of the family's 1533-position model. The record is from RNAcentral.
GAUGAACGCUAGCGGCAGGCCUAAUACAUGCAAGACGAACGGUAAGUUGAGUAGCAAUACUUAGCCAAGAGUGUCGUACGGGUGCGUAACACGUAUGCAACCUACCCUAUACAGGAGGAUAGCCUAGGGAAACCUGGAUUAACCCUUCAUAGUAUUAUUGGAUGGCAUCAUUUGAUAAUUAAAACUGAGGUGGUAUAGGAUGGGCAUGCGUCUGAUUAGUUAGUUGGCGGGGUAAUGGCCCACCAAGACGAUGAUCAGUAGGGGUUCUGAGAGGAAGAUCCCCUACACUGGCACUGAGAUACGGGCCAGACUCAUACGGGAGGCAGCAGUAGGGAAUAUUGGUCAAUGGAUGCAAGUCUGAACCAGCCAUGCCGCGUGCAGGAAGAAGGCCUUCUGGGUUGUAAACUGCUUUUGCCAGGGGAUAAAAUUUCCAUGCGUGGAAAACUGAAGGUACCUGGUGAAUAAGCCACGGCUAACUACGUGCCAGCAG